GGCCGUGUGCCCGAGUGGCCUAAGGGAGCGGAUUGCAAAUCCGUUGGGCUUGUCCCAUCGUGGGUUCGAAUCCCACCGCGGCCU
This 84-nucleotide transfer RNA is filed under the name Phycisphaerae bacterium. RNAcentral's name for it is "tRNA-Cys". It matches the Rfam family "tRNA". From Rfam's summary of the family: Transfer RNA (tRNA) molecules are approximately 80 nucleotides in length. Their secondary structure includes four short double-helical elements and three loops (D, anti-codon, and T loops). The record is from RNAcentral. Lineage: Bacteria; Pseudomonadati; Planctomycetota; Phycisphaerae.